AUUGAACGCUGGCGGCAGGCCUAACACAUGCAAGUCGACCAGGGGCGGACGGGGGGGGAAUGUCUGGGAAACUUCCCUAAGGGGGGGGAUAACUACUGGAAACGGUAGCUAAUAACGCAUACCAUCAGGUGGGCCCAGAUGGGGUUAGCCUGGUGGUGGGGUAACGGCUCACCAAGGCGGAGAUCCCUUACUGGUCUGAGAGGAUGACCAGCCACACUGGAACUUAGACACGGUCCAGACUCCUACGGGAGGCAGCAGUGGGGAAUAUUGCACAAUGGGCGCAAGCCUGAUGCAGCCAUGCCGCGUGUAUGAAGAAGGCCUUCGGGUUGUAAAGUACUUUCAGCGGGGAGGCGUUACCCGCAGAAGAAGCACCGGCUAACUCCGUGCCAGCAGCCGCGGUAAUAC
This 405-nucleotide ribosomal RNA is filed under the name uncultured bacterium. RNAcentral describes it as "partial 16S ribosomal RNA". It matches the Rfam family "Bacterial small subunit ribosomal RNA", at positions 29 to 526 of the family's 1533-position model. The record is from RNAcentral.